This 394-nucleotide ribosomal RNA is filed under the name Theileria ovis. RNAcentral's name for it is "SSU rRNA". It matches the Rfam family "Eukaryotic small subunit ribosomal RNA", at positions 548 to 975 of the family's 1831-position model. The record is from RNAcentral. Lineage: Eukaryota; Apicomplexa; Aconoidasida; Piroplasmida; Theileriidae.
UUGGAGGGCAAGUCUGGUGCCAGCAGCCGCGGUAAUUCCAGCUCCAAUAGCGUAUAUUAAAAUUGUUGCAGUUAAAAAGCUCGUAGUUGAAUUUCUGCUGCAUUGCUUUUGCUCCUUUACGAGUCUUUGCAUUGUGGCUUAUUUCGGACUUUGUUUUACAAUGUCCGGAUGUUUACUUUGAGAAAAUUAGAGUGCUCAAAGCAGGCUUUCGCCUUGAAUAGUUUAGCAUGGAAUAAUAAAGUAGGACUUUGGUUCUAUUUUGUUGGUUUUAGGUACCAAAGUAAUGGUUAAUAGGAACAGUUGGGGGCAUUCGUAUUUAACUGUCAGAGGUGAAAUUCUUAGAUUUGUUAAAGACGAACUACUGCGAAAGCAUUUGCCAAGGAUGUUUUCAUUA